RNAcentral lists this ribosomal RNA (119 nucleotides) under Olea europaea subsp. europaea. The record is from RNAcentral. Lineage: Eukaryota; Viridiplantae; Streptophyta; Magnoliopsida; Lamiales; Oleaceae.
GGGUGCGACCAUACCAGCACUAACGCAUCGGAUCCCAUCAGAACUCCGAAGUUAAGCGUGCUUGGGCGAGAGUAGUACUAGGAUGGGUGAACCCCUGGGAAGUCCUCGUAUGGCACCCC